RNAcentral lists this ribosomal RNA (401 nucleotides) under Ascaris lumbricoides (common roundworm). Its description in RNAcentral is "partial small subunit ribosomal RNA". The record is from RNAcentral. Lineage: Eukaryota; Metazoa; Nematoda; Chromadorea; Rhabditida; Ascarididae.
GAAAUCGGGAAUUUUUAUUGAUAAUGCUCUAAUCUUUAAGAUUUGGUGAAUGAAUCAGAUUAGUACCUGAUUAAACAAAAAUUAAAAGAGCAGGAGUAAAGUUGUAUUUAAACUGUAAGAAUAUUGGCAGGUUUUUAAAUUAUCUUUGGAGGUUGAGUAGUAAUUGAGAGCCCUCAUUAACAACUUUUACUGUAGGCGCAUGUAUGAUCGUUUAUUUUAUUCUUAAGGAUUGUAAUUUUAGAUUAAUUUAUUUUCUGUAAAAAUAGAUAAAUACUUGGUGUAUGUAAAAGAUUUAAUUUGACCUACAAUAUGCUAUCUUGUGGAUACUUUUUUAGUAGAAGGUUGAAAAUGUAAAAGACAGUAAGUUUUUUUUUAUAUAAAGCUGAAGUUUAUUUAAAAAC